GCCGGGCGUGGUGGUGCACGCCUGUCAAUCCAGCAACUCGCGAGGCUGAGACAGGAGGAUUGUGAGUUCAAAGCCAGCCCCAGCAAUGGCGAGGCGCUAAGCAACUCAGUGCGACCCUGUCUCUA
Molecule: small RNA, 125 nt
Filed under: Marmota monax (woodchuck)
Lineage: Eukaryota; Metazoa; Chordata; Mammalia; Rodentia; Sciuridae
Source: RNAcentral